This 592-nucleotide small RNA is filed under the name Pongo abelii (Sumatran orangutan). RNAcentral's name for it is "processed transcript". Lineage: Eukaryota; Metazoa; Chordata; Mammalia; Primates; Hominidae. The record is from RNAcentral.
AUUCGAAUUCACUAAGAGCAAGCAUGAGGGAUAUGACAGUGAACAUGGCUGCAGUUUUUCCUGCUUAAGCUUGCUUUCGUCCUUUUAAAUGACUGUACCAGGAGGAUUUCGCAGUUGUACAGAAACUGAUAUUUCUUCAAAAAUCUUUAUCAAUUCUACACUCACCCCACCGGCUGGUUCAGAGAGGCACUAUGAUGCUACCUUAUUGACACUGCUGGUCGUGGGAUCGUACAGCCUUUGUAUAAUUCCUUUGUUAGCCACGUUUACUGGGAAAAAAACUGGUAAUGCCACUGUCAUCAAAUAUGAGGAGAAACCUCCAAAACCAGCAUUUCAGAAUGGUUCCUCAGGAUCCUUUUAUUUGAAGCCUUUGGUAUCCAGGGCUCAUGUUCACUUGCUGAAAACUCCUCCAAAAGGUCCUUCGAGAAAAAAUUUAUUUACAGCUCUUAAUGCAGCCCAAAGUGCUGGGAUUACAGGCGUGAGCCACUGUGCUGCUGCACCCAGCUAUCUCAGAAUUCUUAACCUUUUGUAGGCUCUUAAAGUUAGGAAGACAGCCAUGCAGAAUGAUCCAAGUUCUAAAGAUCUCCAGGAUGCU